Molecule: long non-coding RNA, 14525 nt
Filed under: Brachypodium distachyon (stiff brome)
Lineage: Eukaryota; Viridiplantae; Streptophyta; Magnoliopsida; Poales; Poaceae
Description: long non-coding RNA (BDIS_LNC002863)
Source: RNAcentral
GGUAAGAUGCUACCCUUCCCUGGUCCUAAAAAGAAGGGAAAAUGGAAAGCCGGUCAACACCGUUGCCCUUCUCCUAUGCUGCUUAUUCCCUUGGUCUACUGCAGCAAAUUACCUUCACAAGCUUUACUGACUAAACAGCAACAUGAAAACAUGUUAUUACAGCAUUGCAUGUAAUGACAAGUUGGCCAGUGUCUUGGUACAGCAAUGUCCUUACUAAUGUGAUACUCCUCAACAGAAGAUCACAGUUAAUGUGUCAACCUGAUCAAGAUCAGAACGAACUCACCUUUCGAAAGAUUGCAUUAUUAAUUGAAACCAUAAGUUGAUUCCUUACUUUGGUCUGUCAGGAUAUCAUCCUAGUGGAGGCUCUGAAACUAGACAACAUCAAGGCUGGAUUAUACAUGCUGCACUGCUUACCUCUAAGACUGGUUGGAUCUGAGGGUUCACCAGUCAGGUGCAUCCUUAUCAAGUGAUCACUUCCCUGAUGCUCUUUCCGAAGCCUGCGGAUGCAUGGUGCCCACUGAUGCUAUAUCCUGGCUAAUGUCCUGAUCCAGUCCAUAUCAGUAACAAUAAAAUGCCGUGUGUCAUCAUGUAUAUAUAUACUUAUACUAUCACCCAGAUAUUUUCAAUCGGCGACCAAAAUGUAGCUAGAAUUAUUACAGAUAAGUCACUGGUGCAAGGCAAACUUACAGUAGUCAUGGCACUCUGCUCGGUCUGCUGUUACCCUUGUAAUCCCACACUGAACCACAUGACUACAUGAGUCAGAAAUUUUCAAGUAGCUUUUGCUUUCACCUUGAAAGUUUCAAGCUAUUUAUGCAAUAUUUCAACUCUCCUGUUAUGAAGCCGGCUAGUACUAUUCUCAGUACUGCUACUUUGAACUCUUUGUAAUGCUCUGCUGUCAUGUAAUAUAAAAUGGGUUGCAUGCUCGUGACGAUGGCUGCAUAUGGAUGAUACAGCAAGUGGUUUUCUUAUUGAUUUUUCAUGAUUAACAUAGCAACUAUCUUGAUACUCGUAUUUAAAAAGUUGUGUGCACCCCUAGUGGGUGCAAAGGCCAGCUCUUCUCUCCCAAAAUUUUAUAGCUAGACAGAUAUCUGACAUCCACCGAAGUAAAUGAAAUGCAGUCCUAACUUAGGCUUCUGGAACUACUGGAUUUCCAAAAUGCUCAAACUGGGUACUGCGGAGAAAGUACAUAAGAGGACUUCACAUGAUGCUGCAAAUAGAUGAACAAUGCUGACAAAGUCCACCAAAUCACAAUAGGAGAAUCAUGGUGCGACUAUUGGCAUCUGCAUCCCCAAGCUUUCCCCAGCAACUAAAAACAGGGACGAUAACCUUGUAUGAAACUAGACUAGCAUUUAGUAACAGAAACUAGAGAACCAUGUAGUCACGUCACCAAAUGACAUUGAUAUUUUACCAAUACCAAUUAUGUAAGUUGGAGUAUAAACCUGUAUGUCCUAGCGGCAUGACACAGAUCAAGUCAGUAUGAACGGAAAUAAUGCAAUCACGAACAUCACACAAAUAAUAUGAGCACCAAUUUUACACCUCGGUCUCAUGAUGCCUUCAUACAUGUCAGCACAUGUAGGACAGGACGACAGGUUGUUGUGUCGAUUACAAUAACGAGAACAACAGGGAAUCGACAAAUAAAAAGGAGAACAUGUAAAAACAACAUUUUCAUCCGAUGCAAAGCACCAGGACGGAGACUGCACAUUCUUGUCGCCCUGUAGUUUGGCUGCGCCCUUGCCUUCUCGCUGUUAAACACAACCAACAUUCAGCAAAAGGCAUUCACAAACCCUGGAAUUCCAUCUUGCGAACCUGUCACCAGUAAAGGCUAUAUUCAGAACAUAUUUCUUCACUUUUGAAGAAACAGAUUUCAGUCCAAGAUAGGGCCAAGGCCAAUUAUGGUCCCUGUGGCACAGCCUGCUAUGGUUGAACGGCCUCUUGCAAUUCUGUUCAUUGUCAAAAGAUAGAUGUCCUGGUUAUUUCUAAGUUGCUUUAUCAUCAAAUAAAUAAGUUUUACAGUCAGCUACCUUAUUCUCUAACCGCCAGUUUACUUGCCAAAGUUUGUUUUAUUAACUACAAUACGAGUAAAAAAGUGCAAUGAAACUCAUCACACAUUUAAAAAAUUACAAAGCGAAACAAAACAAAAUGAAUAGGAAUAACCGCAUAAGUGGUGGAAAAACAUAUAAAUAAACACUUGAGCAAAGGAAACACACUUCAGUAAUAGUUUUGGCUUCACUUCUAAUCUUUGAGGACCACAAACAAGAAAUGCAACAGUCAAAUUUGAAUUUGUUUUACAAGUACUCUACCUUGCUCCAAAAACUUUUGCAGUGACAUUCCCAUUUCCCAACAUGGAUGGAGUUAUUACUCCUUGAUAGAUUAUUUAGGAAUAGUAAAAUAGUUCAAAUCAUGGCUGAACAAUAUAAACUUGAGCAAAGGAACUUAUAUCUGAAACUUCCCAGGCAUGACAAUUUCAUGAUACAAAAUUGCACACUAAUCAUUCAAUGACUAUGUUCAUUCAAACUGACAGCCCAUGGAAAUUGGACAGAUUGAAGACUAGCUGACAGCAUGACUGAACAAUAAAAAAUGCCUGAGUUUCAGUUUGCAUCAUCGGAAAGAAAUAUCAAACAUGGGUGGAGUUAUUACUCUUUGAUAGAUUAUUAGGAAUAGCAAAAUAGUUCAAAACUUCAAAUCAUGGUUGAACAAAAAGGUAGGCAGGGGUUGCAUUGUAAUUCCCAAAAUUGGUUACAGGGCAUUAUCCAUGAUUCAGACUUCAUUUACGAAAGUAGUCGUAGCAUACUAAGAUUAGUAAAUGAUAGCUAGAAUCCGUCCAGUGUGCUUUUCUGCUGAUAUAAACAUAGCUGAUGCUUGAAGAGUGUGCAGAAAACAAUCAUGUAAAAUUGUGAACAAACAAAAGCAGUUUCAAAUAUUAACAUCUCUGAAACAUCUCGGACAUGAUUUUUUUGUUAUGAAAUCAAAAGCAGAAUAUUUCCAUGAUGUUCCAACAACUAUUUGGCAUUCGCUAUAUCUUCUGGAGAUUCAGGAUUUAAAUAUUGUGUAUUGGACAAACCACAAGUAUGCAAUAUUUAAAUACAAUGUAGUCAGCUAUGUAGCACCUUGGUGCUCACGGUACACAAUACAAAAUUCCACACCAAUCAUUCUAUGACUAUAUUCAUUCAAACUGUCAGCCUAUGGAUUAGCAUCUGCAAACAUAUUGAAGAAUUAACUGCCAGCGUGACUAAACAAUGAAAAUUGCCUGCGUUUCAGUUUGCAUCUUCGCAAAGAAAAAGUUGCAGUUUGUAUAAAAUAUGGAUAUUUAUCAUACAGAAAUCUAUCUAAUUAUCUUCACAACUAGCUAAUACAAAACUCAAGCUUUAAAAUAAAGCUAGGUUGCACUUUGAAAUUGAACUAAUGAAAGCAAUUAAGAGAACAUAGUAAUGAUCACCUGAUUCAAGUUCCUGAAGAUCAUUCCUCUGCUGCCCCAUCAGAAUCCGAGAGAGGUAGAAGCGUACCCAAUCCAAUAACAUGUCCAUUCAGGCAUACGAAAUACUCCACAGAAUCAUCGUAAGCACCCAGCCUGGCGGAAGCACUUGCCGGCAUCAUAUCAGCCUGCAGCAUGUUCCAUAGCUUAGCCUUACAAUAGGGGCACACCUCCCUUGGAUGGAACCUAGCCCGCUUCUCAAUCAAGAUCUUCUUGACCCUUGAAGUGGCAAACGACUUGAAGAUGCCACGGAAGAAACCCAAGUCGCCUUCUUCCCCCUGGUCAAGAUGCUCACACGGAUCCGAAACAUACAAGACAUCCAUCCUACACUGCACAGGCAGAAAGCUCUUGCCCGCAGUCCUUGAAAAGCGUGUCCUAAACACAAAGUGUCCUGGGACAUGAACGUUGCUGAACAGCCCCCCUUUUGUGCAGCCAUUACAAUAGAUGAGCAGCUUCCCAAGCGCCUUCCAGUUCCCAUCGACAAUGUGGCUGCCAUCUGAAUGCAAAUCCAGCAUCAUCUUCGGCGCCCUGGCAUGGCAGAACUCCUUCCAAAGCACCUGUUUCGCAACCUCAUCGAACCACUUGCAUACGCAGGAGAGGAUGGCGAUUUGCCUGGGGUUCCAGUUCAUGUGGCGGAAGACUAGGAACAGCGCAUCCUCGCUGAGGUGGCCCUUGAUGCAAGCGCAGCUCGCCGAGUGCGUGCAGCGGUGCUGCUUCACUACCAACACCAUUUCCAGCAAGCAACGCCUACCUCCUCAGCACAGGUGGAGGAUCCAGUAGGGCAAGGUAGGGCGGUCGCCCUACCUUGAUUUUUGCCUCGCUUGCGAAUUGGAGAAAAUUAAGGAGAUGAAAGGGGGAGCUAAAAGGCGGAAUCGGUUCGUGGGGUGAUGGGAGGAGAAACGGUCGGGAGCGAGAGAGUCGAAGGGGAGACCAACCGGCGGUGGCGGCGCUCGCGCGAGGAGGACGACGAGCGAGGGGAGGGGUGUAGGGUGCUCGCGCGAGGGGGCUGGGGCGGCGCUCGACAGCGGGAUGCGCCAGAAGGAGGGAGGGCGGCGGCGCUCGCGCGAGGAUGAAGAAGCGAGGGGAUGGGUCUAGGGUGCUCGCGCGAGGAGGAAGACGAGCGAGUGAGCUGGGGCGGCGCUCGGCAGCGGGAUGCGCCAGUAGGACGGAGGAGCGGCGGCGCUCCCGCGAGGAGGAAGACGAGCGAGGGUAGGGAUCUAGGGCGCUUGGCAGCGAGAUGGGCCAGAAGGAGAGAGGGGUGCGGAACAGGAAGGGAAAGAGGAAAAAGGGAGUGUAGGAAUUCAUCAAGCUUCAAGAAAUUUUCGAUCAUUAGAAUUUGUCUAUGUUUUUUCAUCCUUUUAAAGCUCUUCUGUACAACGUCGAUCUCCACACAUGUCCGGUCAACUUAGAAAUAGCCGGUUGGUUAUACUGUGGUGAUGCACUCAAAGAAUUUUAUAGACGCAACUCUCGUUUAAAUGUAGUCCUACAUUCACAUGAGUUCCCGUCCACACAUAUUGCAUGGAUAUUGAAUGCAAAUUAAUUAUUAAAUCAUUCUGGACAUUGCAUGAUAUCGAAUGCAAAUCAAUUAUUAAUUAAUUUUAAUGCCAACUCCAUAUUCUGUAACGGCUACUGUAGAUUUCAUGUGAAUUAUGUAAAUUGCCAACCUCUCUCUCAUUCUUAUUUUAAUUUUUAUAUAAAAAAGAUUUGUGUUUUCUCUAACUUCUAGUUUUCAUGUAAAUUUACUUUUAAAAUUUAGCUAUUGCGGGUUCAUGUGGAACAUAUGUACAAAAAUCAAUUUGAGAACUUUUCAACUCUUUGUUUGAAUUCUAUAAAAUAAUUAUAUUAUUAAUCUCUACUUCUAUUUAGGACAUAGAAUUAUUUACAAAAAUAUAAAUUUAUGAAUUUUAUAUUGAGUUAAAACCAAACUGCUAAUUAAAUUCAUUUUCCCCUGAAACUCAUAUAUUCAUUUUUUCCACAUAGCAUAAUAUAUCGUAUGGUAGUGUUGAUCUUCAAGCAUAACCAUUUUUUUCAACUCCGGUUUUUCAUCAAAAUUGUUUUUUUUCUCCCUUAAAUAAUUGUAAUCUUGAUCAUGCUUCUACAUGUGAGUUGCAUCUCACGUACAUACGUGGUGCUAGAGUAUGGAUCCUUCACAAGAAAAUUAAGGAUUUGAACCCACAUAUUUUUUUUUAAAAAAUCCCUUCGGAACACAUGAAGUCCUCUUAUGGAUACCCAUAUAUAGCAUGUUUUAACUCACAAGAAUUUUGAAAAAAGAAAAUCUAACAUGAUCGUGGUGCUCGUGCACACAAAAAAAUAAUCAAUGAGCGUUCCUUUGUUUGAAAUUCCUGCGGGAUACAUGUGGAGCAUGCAAGGGCCUCUUUGAUUCGCAGGAUGACAAAAUCACAUGAUUGCCAUGUCAUGCCUAUUUGAAUCCAAUAAGAUUACGGUUGGACCUUAAAAAAAAGGUUGGAGUGGAUACGAGAUUUCCUACCAAAUCUAGUGCAAUGAAAUCCGUAGAAGAACUCUCAUAGAUUCAACACUACAAAUAGCAACCCAUACCUGAAAAAAACAUCUCAAGGAAUUCAAAUCCCGCAAAAUCCCUACAGAAAAUUCUUUGAAUCAAAGAGGCCCGUGACCUUUUGCAAAAUCCCUUCUUUUACCAUACUCAUAUUGAACAGUCUUAGCCAUUGGACAUCUCCCCAGUAGUAUGCUACUGUUGGCAUGGGCACUUGAGAUUCGGGGAGAUACGUACGUGCCCACGCCACGACGACGGGUCGCUCUUGCGAUUGACCAUAUGUGCUGCAGGAGUAUAUCUGCAGCCAAGUAGCCAAGUGAAGGGCGAUCGAGGUGCCCACUUGGGCUCCCCAAGUGGCCAACUCGCGGCAGGAUUCGGUCGACUUCGCUGCGUCACCAUGUCCACUUGCACGAGACCGUCUAGGACGCGUUGGGUGGGUGGCAGCUUUGCGUUCCUGCUGCGGGAGAGCGCUGGACCCAGACAAGGCCGACAGAGUGCUCGGGCCUCCUCGUCGGGGCACAGGCCCAACGCGCGUGGGCUAUCCUCCCAACCUAGGCCUGCAAGAAGGGCCGGCUCGGCCCACUAAACUGCUAAACCGCCCCUCGUUUUGGUACCGUUUGACCCGGACCUUUGGGCCCAGCAAAUUCAAUAGUGCAGUCCAAAAACCCCUUUGGACCCUGACGUCCGAUAGGUUCGGCCCUCCUCUUGUUUCCAGUCCAGGAGAAACCGAGGCCGAGUCUCUCUCUUGUUCUCUCGACAGCUCCGCAGCGGGCAACGCCGCCGGCACGGCCGCCGCAGGUCACCCCGUCGUUCUCCGAUGAUCCGUUCAUAACCUCCACAGGAUCGUCCCGCUUCCGCCUCCAUCUCGACCGUGCCGCCGGCCGUGACUCCGAGGCGCCGCCGCCCGCUCCUUCGCCGGCGGGGGAAAAGAAGUUGCUGGUGGUGAGGACGGGGGAGAUUUUCCUGGGGCUUGUGGCGGUGUUCGUCCACGAGGUUAGGGGGGCGUCUCCGGUUUAGCACGUGGAGGCAGAGGCAGAGGGAGGUGGUGGCGACGGCGAGCCCUCGGUUCAGCUUCUUUGCCGCCGUUUUGGGCAUCGUCGACGCCGUUGAGAGAGGAGCCUCGUCGCCUGCCGGUGCUUAAACUCCACCCCUCUCCCACCGGUUAGUAUUCUGUUUCCUCUAUUGAUCUCUUCCCUCUCAGUUCAGUUAUGUAAUGUAUUUAUGUCUCAUGUGUUGUUCCUGUUCCGGUUUUGUUUGGUGAGGAAACAAAUCUUCUACUCCCUUUGAUCCUAAAUUGUUGUCGAAAUAUUACAUCUAUCUAGACGCUUUUUAAGAAUAGAUACAUCCAUAUUUGGACAAAUUUGAGACAAGUAAUAUGGGUCGGAGGGAGUAGCAUAUACCAGAGCAUGAACAAAUCUUCAAACAGUUUCAGUUAGCUGGAUUCAUUGUUAAUGAGAAUUAAUAUCUAUGAUACAGCCCAGGGUGUACCAUAAAAAAGUAUAGCACAGUACUUUCAGAGUGAUUUUGAUGAGAGCAUAUGCAGUGUAUAGUCCUGUCAUUUUGCAAACUGUGUGUUGAGCCAUUUAUGCCAUACGCUCCCCAGCGCAAGGUAAUUGUUUAACAAAAUUCUGCGAUGCAAUUUAUGCUUGGUAAUUUUCUGCAAUGUAUGCUUGGAAUGAGAUGAUGCUUGCAAUGUAUGUAUGAACUGGAUGCUUGGUGAUACAUUGGGUUGUCCGGGGUGGACUCACGCUGAUGAUUUGGGCCUUGGGUUUUGGGGGUUAGUAAUUGGAGAUUUGGGGUUGUCCGGUUGGGCCUCAGGAUGCCGUUGGGAGGGUAUGGCACCCGGCUGCUGCCCUCCCCAUACCCAUAGAAUAAAAUCCCUGUGUUUACCCUCCCCUGAUUGCCCAUUACCUACUUUUAGGCUAAAUUAGUUUGGAAGCCUAGCAAAAUUUGGGGGUCGGCUUCUUCAGGAAGCUGGGGGAGGACAGCUUCUGUGAGAAGCUCCCCAAAAGAACUGGGCCUAAUUAUGCUUGUGUAUUAGAUGGAUAAAGCAAAAACGAAAUGAGUAAUUUGGGAUGAUAUUCAUGAUGUGAGAGUGCCUUGGUAAUUAUCUUUGAAUUUUAACAUUCUGCUCCGCCACCAGCACUAUAGCAGUCUCUGUACCUUCUCUGGCCUGUACUCGCUGGUGGGCGGGUGCCUCGGUGAUGGGCUCAUGCUGAGACAACAGGGGAAAUAUCACUGGUAACAGAGUUGACUGAUCAGGGAAUGAUAGAAACUUCGGAUGGCAUAUAAGCGAAUCGAAUGCGAGUGUUUGGCCGACCCAUGACACGUCGUGUAUUAUGCCUAUUCAGGCUGGCGCUGAGGAGGAUUGUGGUGGAAAUGCAGCCACGCGGUGGUUGCAGAGGAGUGGACUGCAGCCUGUGCUCUAUGUUUGCUUACGAUACCCCUACAGUAAAAGGGCUGAUUUCUACACUUCCUAAACUGUCUUGCACAAAUCAAAUUUCAGAUGAGGCUGGUUGGCUUGACUGGUGGGAUUGCGUCGGGGAAGAGUACCAUAUCCAACCUCUUCAAAUCCAAUGGCAUCCCUGUCAUUGAUGCCGAUAUAGUUGCUCGGGUAAGCAGCAGCCGUAAUCGUCCUACAUGAUGUUCUAUUCGUUAUUUUGACCAGUUCAUUGUUCUGUUUUAGAGGGCCUGUUUAUGCUGCUUUCAAUAUAUGGUGAUCUUUUCUAAACAAUAUUGUUGUUCUUGAUUCAUCCCACCCAACAGCCUCAAGCUUUGCAUCACAACAAUUUUCUUGUUUUGAUUGAUUGCUUAUAUUUGGUAGAUAAUGUGCACUUCACUCCAAACAGAACAUCUGCAACACAGUUAUAAAUUGGUUGGUUGUAAGCUGGUUUUCCAGUGACAAGGAAAGGCAACUGUUCAGUUUGUUUUGUCCUAUUUAACCAUAAUUACCUGAUGUGAUCCAACCUCCUCUGAACCACGAACCCGAUCGAGCGAUCUAGAUCAGGGUUUGAAAUUGCUACGGAUCACUCAUAUUUGGGAUGUGAUUCAGUCAAUGCAAGGGGAACAAAUACAAUACUAAAUCAAGAGAGAAAUGAGAAUAAAAACAUGCCGGAAUUGUCAUUGUGUUACUGUAGUCGCCAUCAUGCCACUGCUCUCCACCACCGCACGUCACAGUCGUCGCUGUUGUGUGCAUUUCUCUGCAGUCAUGCCUGCCAUCGUGUCUUCAAAUUUAGGUGAGCUUGGCUGGGCCAACAGUUCACUGGUCAAAUUUAGGAUCUUCUACAUUUGUUCGCUAAUUCCAAAACCAUACAAUCCUACAUUUUGACUUUAUUUCCCUCCAUGUUACGAACUGAAAUAUGAAUUCAUGUACCUAGUCUAUAGAUCCCAUGACUCAAUUCGUAGCGGCUGAUGACUCAUGAACCUCAAAUCGAACGAAUUUCAGAUCUGGUAACUCUUACUUCGCUUAAGCUUCUAUCUGGAAUUUUAUAACCAGUAAGCUAAUGUGAAAAGUUUGGAGUCAGUAGGGAUUCAUGGUUACUGGCAGGCAGAGUAGCAGUAACUUACCUUUUCCCCUCUAUAACUAGAUCUAUCAGUUGAGCCAAGCCUCUGAUCUGAAAUUUAUAACCAGUAAGCUAGUGCGAAAAGUUUGGAGUCAGUAGGCAUUCCUGGUUAGUGGCAGAGUAGAUCUGCCAGUUGAGCCAACAUUAUUUUAUGCAUUAAAAUACAUUUUUGGUUGUCUUCAUGAAAAUUAUAAAUGUGUACGAACUACUGGAUCCUACAAAAUAUAAAUGAUUCCACCACAAUGCUUGGUAUGAGGCAGUAAUUUGUCAAUACUCUGGGGCUUUGUACUUGUUAGGCAUUUGGAAUAUUUUGGUGCUUGCAAACCACACUUGACAGCAGCUAGCAUGUUUGUGUUUUGGUACUGAUAAGCAUUUGCAUUACUUGCAGACCACAAUUGGUAGUUGCUACUUGAUAGUAUUGUAUGUACAAAGCAUUUAAAUUCUGUUGCGUUCUGAGACUGUGGAAUCCAGAGCUUGACUUGCAAACUUAGUACUUGACUUUCAGAUCUCAAAGUAUGUUUAAUACACUUUUGGACUUAUGUGUUACGAACUUUGUGCUGAUUGUAUUUUCAUGCAUUUACAGAAUGUAGUGCAGAAAGGCACCAGAGGUUGGAAGAAGAUUAUAAAUGCUUUUGGGAAUGAUAUCUUGUUGGAAAAUGGAGAAAUUGACAGAGCUCGCCUAGGCCAGAUGGUUUUCUCUGACCCAGUGAAACGCCAAAUUCUAAACCGGUACAAUCUCUAAGAAAAAAUGCAUUUUGUUUUGUUUUGCUAUAAUUAUAGAUAUUUGGUUCAAUUUUUUUUAACAUGAUAACUGCUACAUCCUCAACAGGGAAUAAUAAUUCCACCUAUUUCUGUUCUCACAUCUCAUGUUGUUGUGGUUCCCAUGAAAAUACAAUUGUUUAGUUGGAUAUUUUGCUCAUAUUAGCAAUCUUGGGCGUAUUUUUUUUUGAGUAAUCUCUUGUGUGUAUUUCAUACAGUGAAGAUGUAAUUUGACAAACCAUUAAUAUCAUAAAUGCUACAUUUAGUGUUUUGUAAUUCUGAUACUGAUCUAUACUUAGUGGCAUGCACAUUGUCAUGAUUAGUCCUUUAGAUGUCAAGGAUUAUUUUUUUGGUGGCAUUUUCUGAUAUGUUUUGUUCGUGAUUACUUCUUGGUAACCUUUCAGUCUUCUGGCCCCACAUAUUUCAUCGGGUAUACUUUGGGAGAUAAUAAAACUGUGGAUGAAGGGAUGCAAGGUUAUAAUCCUUGACAUUCCGCUGCUGUUCGAGACAAAAAUGGACCGAUGGACAAACCCAGUCAUUGUUGUAUGGGUGGAUCCCCAAACACAGAUUGAGAGGCUCAUGUCGAGAGAUGGAUGCAGCCAGGAACAAGCGCAGAACAGGAUCAAUGCACAGCUUGCGCUGGACUGGAAGAAGUCGGAAGCUGACAUAGUUAUCAACAACUCUGGCCUUCUAGACGACACAAAAGAACAGUUCCGAGAAGUAUUGAAGCAAGUGUCUGAGCCCUUGACAUGGAAGGAGCGCAUGAUAUCCCGGGAUGGCCUUCUCUCCAUUGUUCUGUGCACAGCAGUGGGAAUUUUACUAGCUCAGAAGAAUCUGCUAUGACCUUUACAUAUUUAGGAUUGAACGAAGAGGUUGAAAACUGCAAACUACCAUUGCACUAGCACGCUUAUGGUUCUGUGAUGUUUUAUACUCCUACGUCGACUGCCGAACUUUUAGUAACAAGAUGGUCAUGAACAAGCUGAAUCUGGCAAUCAUUUGUUCGUAGCUACACCUGUGUUGUCUUAUGAGCUUGUGGUAUACGGAGUCCUAUUUGGUUAUCACUUCGGAAUGGAUUACUUGAGCAAGUCUAAAACUAGGAUGCCAGGUUGAUACACCAAUGUUUUACAGAGAUAAUCAUUCAAUAUCACCGCUUCAGGUGCUGUCUUGAAGCGGUGAUUUUGAUUACUUCGGAACUGAACGGAGUUCUCGAACGUGGAUUAGUAUUUACUUCAGGUUCAAACUUGAAAUAUUUGAAAACUCAAAGUUAUGUUGAAGUGUAGCAAGGCGCCUUGAAAUUUUGGUUUUGAGUGAUCUCUCCUUUUCGAACUUAUUUAGUAGUCAUAAUAAGUGUAGUGAUGAUUUAGUACAGUAGUACAACUUACUAUGGCUCGGGGGGAGGGAGUACUGUGCUGUGACUGCUUUUUGUCUUUUUGGUUAUUUCAAAUAUCGGAUGGUUAAACCGAAUUACCUAAGCUAACAGAUGCUCGAAAAACAAAAGAAAAAGAUGGCUACAUGUUCCGUGGUUCCUGUGACCACACGUAUUGUACUACUCCGUUCUUUAUGGAACGGAGUGAGUACUGUCCAUCUUCCCAAAGCAUCUUCGCUUGCAACUCGGUCAACUCGGUGACACGAUAGCCUGAUAGGAGAGUUUCAGUUUCCAGUUAACAUCACUCCCCAGAGUCCACAGCACCCCAGACCCCGAGCGAGAGCGCUCGGCACGGCAAGUCGGCGGCGAUCAUGGCGGCGGCUGUUCUCAUCACCCUUCUCCUCCUCCUCCUUCUCCCGGCGCGCCACGCUCUCGCCACGGCGGCCGGCGACGCGCACCCGGGCUACGCGGGCGCGGAGGCCGACACCUGCGGGCCGGAGCUCGGAGACGGCGGCUCCGUGGGCCGGCGGAGUCACGGCCCGGCGCUGGAGGAGUACGGCGGGGGGCGCAUCGUGGACAUCACCCACGCGUACCGGCCCGACAUGCCGGCGUUCGCGCCGGGCGCGACCGUGGGCCCCGUGGUGCGGCUCAAGGAGUCCAUGGAGAACGGGUCCGAGUACAACCUGUCGGAGCUCCGGAUCGAGUGCCACAUGGGCACCCACGUCGACGCGCCGGGCCACAUGAACCAGGCCCACUUCGCCGCCGGCCUCGACAUCGACACGCUCGACCUCGACGUCCUCAACGGUGCGCGUCCAAAAGCUUUUCUCCUACCAAAAACUAACCAAGCUUCGAUUAUCUUGUUUAUUCUGGAACCAUGAAGCUUCGAUUAUUCUGUCAUCUCCGGCUCGCCAUAUGCACAUACACUACGAUCAUGUUGGUUAGAUGAUUAUAUGAUGCACGGAAUGAGGGGAAUCAAUUUGGAAACGAGAUGACAAGAACCUAGAGACGAGGAGGAAGAUGAUGCGGGGAAUUCUAGUUCUAGAUACCAAUUUAUAACAAGCAACAGUCUAGACUAGGCUCUGUGUUCAUUUUCUUCUAGCUGAUGUCUUCAAUUCAGAAGCUGUGAGCAUGUGAAACAGAGUAUCCAUUAGAAUUGCUUGAAGUGCAUCUCAAUUCCGCGUCUUGCUUCUGACCGAAAUAUUUGUGUGUGCUUCUUAAGCUUUCUAAUAAAGCUGGGCCAAAAGUCUUUUCUCUACAAUUUUGUUGUUGUUGCAUGUGAGCCUUAAUUAAAUCUGCAUUGUAUUUGGGAAUUAUUUGACCAUUGACUUACUAUUGUACCUUUACAGGUCCUGCGUUACUGGUCGAUGUUCCGAGACACACAAAUAUAACAGGUAUCCCAUGUGUGUUUUUUGCUUCCAGGAGCUCCAGCUCAUCUGCCACUCCUUCAAUUAAUCACUUUGCUGUCGCAAGAUUAAUUUAACAAGAGAUAUACAUAUAUCACUGGUAUGCUGUUGUUGUAUUUAGAUAUCUGUUUCUCCAUCAAAUUCAUGUCUUCGGCGAGGGUUUGAUAAGAAUUAAUUUCUCACAGACCAAUGUCUGCAUUUUUAAAAGAUAAGAAGAACGCGAGAAGUGUUGACAUUCUCAAUAAAAAUAUACGAUUUGUGUGCAUGGUGGCUAGCAUUAUUUGGUACAUGAUGCUCCCAUUAACUCUAUGCAGCUGAAGCAAUGGAAUCCCUUAACAUACCGAAAGGUGUCCGUCGUGUUCUCUUCAGGACAUUGAACACAGACAGGUAUGCCCUAUUUUCAGGAGAUAUUCAACUAGAAAUACAUUUUUGACCAUAUUAUUAGUUGAUUAUGUUAUGGAUUGUAUUGAACAUAUAUGUAACCAAAUGAUAUGUAGGGGGCUCAUGUGGAAGGCAUCAGGCGAUCUCAGUUAUGUUGGUUUUACAAAGGAUGGUGCACAAUGGUUAGUUGACAACACCGACAUCAAGCUUGUUGGUGAGUACUUAGGAGCUAGAGAAUAUUGGAAUUACAAAACAUGGCAUUUGUCUUUAUAUCCAUCUUCAUGAUGAUCUGGUGUUGUGGACUUACACAUAUUUGUCAGAACCUUGUUAAUUGUGAAUUGUCUAGGCUCAGUUAGUUCUAUAACCUUUUUGCUUGGGAGAUCAAUAUAUGCAUAUCCUUAUCUUAUGUAAAAUUAACAUAAUGAUAUUGGCAAUUCUGUAGGGGUUGACUAUCUAUCGGUUGCAGCAUUUGAUCACUUAAUCUCUGCCCAUGUGGUCUUUUUCAAAAAUGCGGUAAGAUGCUACCCUUUCCUGGGCCUAAAGAAGUGAAAAAGCAAAGCUACCAGAUAACAUUGUUGCCUUAUACUAAAUUACUAAUCUCUAAUCCUAUUCUGCUUAUUCCCUUAGUCUACCACAGAAAAUUACCUUCACAAGUGUUUCCUGACUAAAUAACCAACUCUGGAAACAUUUUACUACAGCAUUGCAUGUGACAGGUUGACCAAAAUAUUAGUUCAGCAUUGGCAUUGCUAAUUAACCUCUUCUCGAGGGACAAUGCUUGCUUAUUUACUACUCCUCUUAAGAAGAUUACACUUCAUCUGUUGGUGAUCCAGAAAGAAUAGAAUGAACUCACCUUGCAAUAUCUCACCUUCCAAGCGAUUGCAUUAUUGAUUGAAACCAUCAGUUGAUGUGCUUACUUUGUUUCUGUCAGGAUAUCAUCCUAGUCGAAGCUCUGAAACUAGACAAUGUCAAGACUGGUUUAUACAUGCUGCACUGCUUACCUCUAAGACUGGUUGGAUCUGAGGGUUCACCAAUCAGGUGCAUCCUUAUCAAGUGAUCACUUCGCUGCCGC